RNAcentral lists this transfer RNA (72 nucleotides) under Camelus ferus (Wild Bactrian camel). It matches the Rfam family "tRNA". Rfam says of the family: Transfer RNA (tRNA) molecules are approximately 80 nucleotides in length. Their secondary structure includes four short double-helical elements and three loops (D, anti-codon, and T loops). Lineage: Eukaryota; Metazoa; Chordata; Mammalia; Artiodactyla; Camelidae. The record is from Rfam by way of RNAcentral.
GAGGGGAUAGCUCAGUGGUGGAACGCUUACUUAGCAUGCACGAGGUCCUGGGUUCAAUCCCCAGUACCCCCA